GAUGAACGCUGGCGGCGUGCCUAACACAUGCAAGUCGAACGGAAAGGCGCUGCUUUUGUGUGGUGCUCGCGUGGCGCACGGGUGUGUAACACGUGAGUCUCCUGCCCUUGACUUUGGGAUAUCUUCAGGAAACUGGGGCUACUACCUGCUAGCAGCUCCUGCUGCUUGGUGGUGGUUGGAAAGUUUCGGCGGUUGUGGGUCGACUCCCGGUUUACCAGCUUGUUGGUUGGGUAGUUGCUUACCCAGCCUUCGACGGGUAGUCGGCGUGGGAGGUUGACCGCGCACCAUGGGCCUAAGAGAGGGCGCAGAGUGCUACGUGAGGCAGCAGGGGGGAAUAUUGCACAAUGGGGGCAAGCCUGUUGAAGCAGCGUCGCGAGCGUAAAGACGGCCUACGGGGUGUAAACGGCUGUCGGCUGAUACGUAGCGGUUGUGACGGUAAUGAGUAAAGAAGCACCGGCUAACUACGUG
This 468-nucleotide ribosomal RNA is filed under the name uncultured bacterium. RNAcentral's name for it is "partial 16S ribosomal RNA". It matches the Rfam family "Bacterial small subunit ribosomal RNA", at positions 28 to 507 of the family's 1533-position model. The record is from RNAcentral.